Molecule: long non-coding RNA, 255 nt
Organism: Dermacentor silvarum
Lineage: Eukaryota; Metazoa; Arthropoda; Arachnida; Ixodida; Ixodidae
Exons: 3
Source: RefSeq, a predicted model, not a curated record
GUGGUGGCACUGGUGCCUAAUGAGCUGAUUUCUAUAUAUAAAGGUCUUGGGGCAUAAUCGGCACUAAAAUGGCCUCUCGCUGGCGUGUAUGCGCAGGUGUACCUUGAGACUACUCUUAUGUGGGAAGCUCCGAGGGCAUGAAGGGCACUGAAAUGGCCUCUCGCCUGUGUGAGUGCGCAGGUGUACAUUCAGUGUGCACUUUAGAGAGAAUUUCUGAGGGCACAAAUGGCAUUCAAAUGGCCGCUCGCCCGUAUG